GUCCGUCUUUACGUCAAGACUAAUUUUCAAGAUGUCAGCUUUACGAUAACCUCACUUCAACCAUGUCGCUCCUCCUCACCUCCUUGCUCACCCACCCACAUGCGGAUCGGAAAUAUGAGGCAUGUGCGUGGACUGUGGAAUGUAAAUAAACGCGAGAUGAAUCCUAAGUACAUACUUUACUUCGUGCUGAUAAAGUGACAAUUGAUAUCGUUGCGUGGCUAUGAGGUUGCCGAUCAGACGCUUGUGGCAAGGAUGCACACUGCUUAAGAUCAGACUGGAGCUUGAGGAAAAUCACUAAUUGUAGGAUUGAUACUGUACUCACGUUUGAAAUAUUAGAAUAAGAUAUACGACAGAAAAAAUAGAAGAAUUCAACCCCAUUCAAACAUUUGUAAGCAAUGAAAAUAUUUCACUGACAGAACUGGUAAAAAAUAAGUC
Molecule: long non-coding RNA, 435 nt
Organism: Bemisia tabaci
Lineage: Eukaryota; Metazoa; Arthropoda; Insecta; Hemiptera; Aleyrodidae
Source: RefSeq, a predicted model, not a curated record